CAGCGAUGCCGCGUGAGUGAAGAAGGCCUUUGGGUUGUAAAGCUCUUUCGUCGGGGAAGAAAAUGACUGUACCCGAAUAAGAAGGUCCGGCUAACUUCGUGCCAGCAGCCGCGGUAAUACGAAGGGACCUAGCGUAGUUCGGAAUUACUGGGCUUAAAGAGUUCGUAGGUGGUUAAAAAAGUUGGUGGUGAAAUCCCAGAGCUUAACUCUGGAACUGCCAUCAAAACUUUUUAGCUAGAGUAUGAUAGAGGAAAGCAGAAUUUCUAGUGUAGAGGUGAAAUUCGUAGAUAUUAGAAAGAAUACCAAUUGCGAAGGCAGCUUUCUGGAUCAUUACUGACACUGAGGAACGAAAGCAUGGGUAGCGAAGAGGAUUAGAUACCCUCGUAGUCCAUGCCGUAAACGAUGUGUGUUAGACGUUGGAAAUUUAUUUUCAGUGUCGCAGCGAAAGCAAUAAACACACCGCCUGGGGAGUACGACCGCA
RNAcentral lists this ribosomal RNA (481 nucleotides) under uncultured Pelagibacterales bacterium. RNAcentral describes it as "bacterial SSU rRNA". It matches the Rfam family "Bacterial small subunit ribosomal RNA", at positions 389 to 890 of the family's 1533-position model. Lineage: Bacteria; Pseudomonadati; Pseudomonadota; Alphaproteobacteria; Candidatus Pelagibacterales. The record is from RNAcentral.